Long non-coding RNA from Mytilus californianus (California mussel), 567 nucleotides. RefSeq lists it as uncharacterized. The record is from RefSeq and is a predicted model, not a curated record. The transcript has 3 exons. NCBI's taxonomy places the organism in Eukaryota, Metazoa, Mollusca, Bivalvia, Mytilida, Mytilidae.
GACAAUAUUCAGCUAAAUACCCUAUGGUGUAAAUACAUCUAUAGCAUUAAGGUGAAUAAUGAUUGUAAAGACAUUAAUGUAGCCCUGCAAACUCUUCUCUCUUGUCAGUAUUACCAUUCUACAGCAUUAAGGUGAAUAAUGAUUGUAAAGACAUUAAUGUAGCCCUGCAAACUCUUCUCUCUUGUCAGUAUUACCAUUCUACAGCAUUAAGGUGAAUAAUGAUUGUAAAGACAUUAAUGUAGCCCUGCAAACUCUUCUCUCUUGUCAGUAUUACCAUUCUACAGCAUUAAGGUGAAUAAUGAUUGUAAAGACAUUACUGUAGCCCUGCAAACUCUUCUCUCUUGUCAGUACUACCAUUCUACAGCAUUAAGGUGAAUAAUGAUUGUAAAGACAUUACUGUAGCCCUGCAAACUCUUCUCUCUUGUCAGUACUACCAUUCUACAGCAUUAAGGUGAAUAAUGAUUGUAAAGACAUUACUGUAGCCCUGCAAACUCUUCUCUCUUGUCAGUAUUACCAUUCUAUAGCAUUAAGGUGAAUAAUGAUUGUAAAGACAUUACUGUAGCCCUG